Molecule: ribosomal RNA, 513 nt
Filed under: uncultured bacterium
Lineage: Bacteria
Description: partial 16S ribosomal RNA
Rfam family: Bacterial small subunit ribosomal RNA
Source: RNAcentral
AACGAACGCUGGCGGCGUGCCUAACACAUGCAAGUCGAGCGCGAAAAGGGCAACCUGGGUAGAGCGGCGCACGGGUGCGCAACACGUGGGUAAUCUGCCUUAGAGUCGAGGCUAACCUUCCGCAAGGUUGGCUAAUACUCGGUAAGCUUACGGUGGCUUCUGACGCUGUGUGACAAGUAGGCCUCUGUUUACAAGCUUACGCUCUGAGAUGAGCCCGCGUCCCAUCAGCUAGUUGGCGGUGUAACGGACCAUAAAGGCAACGACGGGUAGGUGGUCUGAGAGUACGAUCAGCCAAACUGGAACUGAGACACGGUCCAGACUCCUAGGGGAGGCAGCAGGGGGGAAUUUUCCACAAUGGGCGAAAGCCUGAUGGAGCAACGCCGCGUGUGUGAUGAAGGUUUUCGGAUCGUAAAGCACUUUCGACCGGGACGAAAAACCUCUGGCUAACAUCCAGGGGCCUGACGGUACCGGGAGAAGAAGCACCGGCUAACUCUGUGCCAGCCGCCGCGGUAA